Molecule: non-coding RNA, 2505 nt
Organism: Heterocephalus glaber (naked mole-rat)
Lineage: Eukaryota; Metazoa; Chordata; Mammalia; Rodentia; Bathyergidae
Source: RefSeq, a predicted model, not a curated record
UUUGGGACCAGCGGCAAACCGGCUCCUUUCUCCGUCUCCUGUUAAUUUGCUUUCCUGACCCUGAAAUAUAACAAAUGGAUUUCAAAGGCUAUUUGUUUCAUUCCCUUUCUUUUUUAUUCCCUUUUACCUAUUAAUUUUGAGCCUUGAAACUGAAAUGCACGGAAUGCUAAGUAGUGUCCCGCUUUGGAUCCUGGAACAGGAAAAAAGUCCUUAGUAGAAAAACUGAAGAGAUCCUAAUACUGUAAAUUUAGGGUUUAGUGACUGCUUGUCUUGAUAACAAUUUCUCAAUUUUCAUAAAUAUAUUCUAACGCUAACCUGCAAUGAGUUUGGGUACAGACUAUAUAGGAGUGCUUAGCACUAUUUCACAACUUACUGUAAAUCUCAAAUUAUCCUAAAAUAAACUACACAUCCCACGGCGAAGUGAAGCAGACCAUUGUUCAUAAGGAGGGUUUGAGUUAGUCCUCCGCCCUGGCUGACAGGAAGUAGGUUCUGUUUGACCAAGUUGUUUGCUAAGCCGGGUUGUCGGGCUGCUGAGUGUGGACACGUCUGCCGUCUGCCGCACGUUUCCAGGCCGGAAUCUCUUCCCUCUCCUUUCCGAGCAUCGCGUAUCCUCGGAUCACCUGCUAUAGAUAAGCAGGAUUGAGGAGUCCAAGUGUUCCAGAGACCUGGCCUGGGGAAUUAAGUGUCAGCUUCUGCAGAAGUGGAGGAGGUUGAAGAAUGAGUCUAAAUCGUGGAUUUAGCAAUUAGGAAGUCAUCGGUCAUUUUCCAGAGUCUGUUCAUUCUGUGUCUCUUCCCGAGUGGCCGGAGGGCUAGGCAAGGAGCCAGGUAUGGUUUCCACUCUUGGCUCUACGACUUCCUACUCGUGUAAUUUUGGGUGAGUCAUUAUCCAUGGACUGGAACAGGAAAAUACAUCUCAAUCAACCAGAAGGACCCUUUCAUUUCUGGCAUCACUGAGCAGUCUGGAGAAUUGGCGGUCUGUGGCACACACUUUGGAAAUGGUGAUCUAGUAGCUUAGAGCGCUAAUGGACCCACAAAAAAAUCAUAUUUACCCUCCCUCCCUUUGAGAUUGGGUUUUGUUAUGUUGCCCCAGCUGGUCUUGAAUUCAUGGCCUUAAACUGUCUUCCUGCUUCAGCCUCCCAAGUAGCUGAGACUGCAGGUGUACACUCCCAUGCCUGGCUUAAUACUUGCAUUGAUUUGGCUACUGUAGUUCAUUUCAAAAGGAUCCUAUAGAGUAGUUAUGCUUAUAUCUUUGGAGAUAAACAGGCGGUGACAGUUAAGCUUCACUGUCAACUUGACUGGACUCUGAGGCUAAUGGAAAGGCGAUUGGCACACGGGGGCACAGUAGGCCCUAGUGGACUAACCCUCUGAUGCUCAGGGCUCAGUGUGUUGUCAGGGGUGGGGCCUGGUGGAGGUGGGUCAUUGGGUGCCUUGCAGGACUGUGGCUCGUGGGUGCUGCUUCCUAGCUGCCCUGGGUGGAGUGACUUUGCUCCGACAGGCCCUUCUGCCACGCCAUCUUGGCCUUGCAGCCAGUCAGCUGUGGAGCAAACCUGAAACCAUUAGCCAGCAAACCUUUAUUGAGCAGGCACUGUGUUCCGGAUACUGGUGUAGGUCCUGGAAGAGCGGUGAACCAGAAAGAACUGCUCGCCUGGCUGUGCUGCCCUCCUCUUGGCCUGGGGAGCAGGCGUGAGCUCUGAGAGAGACAUCCAGGCACCCAGUGCACACCACAGAGACCCCUGGCGUAGCACAGAGAUGGGGGGUGCUGCACCAGCUCCCCACAAGGAACGAGAUCAUUAUGUACUCCAGACAUGGACUAAUACAAAUUUUAAAAAUGGAAAAAAAUAAACUUCAAGAAGAGAGAGGGAGGAAAAAAAAAACCUGAGUCUCUUAUGCUGCACUUGAUUCCCUCCUUUGUAUUAGCUUCCUCUUAUUAUUUUAUUUUUUAUUUAAAAAAUUUAUUUAUUUUUUGUCCUGGGGAUCAAACUCGGGACCUCGAGUUUGCCAGGCAGGCACUGUGCCACUGAGCUAAAUCCCCAGCAGCUUCCCCUUUUUAUUGGCCCUGGUUUCAGUGGUGUCAUUUGAAAAAUAAGUGAAAUGUGGAGGAGUGCAUGAGAAGGAGGCCAUAGGUGCUACAAGAAUCAGCAGAGGGUGGUACGGCAGAGAGGGGCUGACGCCAGGUGUGUGCCAGGAAGGCCCCCUCGAAGGGGACACUGAAGUGGCCAGGAGCCAGGUGGGCAGGGAUCCAGGGCCCAAGCAGUCCAGGCCCACAGAAGAGGCGCGGGCAGGGCUCUGAACACGGGAUCUGCAACAGAAAGGGCCAGACGGGACAGGGACGCCUUCUUUCCCACCAAUUCACUAUCCCAAAUACAAAACCUCUGCUAGUCGGUCCAUACAGAAAUGGAAAAUGGACCAUCUCUUGACCCCUUUCCUUUCUGUAAAAGAUUUAUCUCCCUAUUUCCUAUUAUCUUGUCUUUAAAUUCGCUCUUUAUUUAUAUUUUGAGUUUCUCA